Molecule: transfer RNA, 76 nt
Filed under: Arthrobacter sp. Edens01
Lineage: Bacteria; Bacillati; Actinomycetota; Actinomycetes; Micrococcales; Micrococcaceae
Description: tRNA-Leu
Rfam family: tRNA
About the family: Transfer RNA (tRNA) molecules are approximately 80 nucleotides in length. Their secondary structure includes four short double-helical elements and three loops (D, anti-codon, and T loops).
Source: RNAcentral
GCCCCAGUAGCCCAAUGGCAGAGGCAGCGGACUUAAAAUCUGUGUGUUGUGGGUUCGAGUCCCACCUGGGGUACAA